Long non-coding RNA from Actinia tenebrosa (Australian red waratah sea anemone), 829 nucleotides. RefSeq lists it as uncharacterized. The record is from RefSeq and is a predicted model, not a curated record. Lineage: Eukaryota; Metazoa; Cnidaria; Anthozoa; Actiniaria; Actiniidae.
CUGACAUGAACGAACAGCUAUUCCUAGCACAGCUUUUCUGGGUAAGGUUGUGUUAUUCGUUGUCGUUGGGUCCCGCAAUUGCCUCAUCGUACGCUCCGAAUGCACGCAUAUGGUAGAAUCAACAUCUGAGAGUCAGUAUGGAACAUCAAAGAGACAGAAAAACGCUGAAUCACACUAAACCUGACCGAAAUUCAAGACCAAUGUGGGUUCUUGACGAUGACUGCAAACGAGGGGAAAAAAGCGAUACCAAGACCUCUUGCUUUCCAGAAAAUCAGCAGGAUAGCGAUUGGCUCCUUUGUAUUCAGAAGAUAUACUCGGACUCAGUACAGAGAAAAUUAAGGUAAGUUUUCUUUAGGUUGGAAGUCACUCAAAUUGAGACACUUAGGAUAUCAUUGGUACACGGAAUUCGUAAGUAUCAAACAGGUAGGCACUACUAAUCAAAACAUUCCUUUCACAGGGUAAUGCUAACGUACUUCCUUUUCAGGUAUCUUUCGCAACUUCUAGGUCAAUCUUGAAGAGUAGAGAAAUUUUUUUUACAUGAAAUUGGACUUACAGCUCGUAAGUCCGUUUCAUGUUUUCAAACCAAAUGCCAUAUUGCGUUACAAAAUCUGUCACGCAAUACGGCAUUCGUGAUUGCAUAAACUUUUGUUGUAAUCAUGACAUUUGCGCAAAGAAGGCUUUGCGCAAAUGAUUUACACCUUCCAUACCAUGGUAAUAGAUAAUAGCCUUAUAGCCACCUGUAUGUUGUGUCCGUAAUAUUUUAGUGUUUAACUAGUCUUUAGUAUCAUAUUGUUCCUUACCUUUAUGGUUCUUACUAGUAUUUCAAUCC